AAAUUAAUCAUUUUAAAAGUGUUGAUUGGCCGCGAUUUAAUCAGAGUUUGCUUACGUGCAGAAAUUAAUUGAUUGCCAGGCACCCGGGCACCUAGACACCGCCAUAUGCACACUUUCCACUAACAGAAUUUCUUGUCGAUACGAGUUCUAGGCCUUUAUUUAAUCAGAACAGAUUCUCUUUAUUUUUACAAUCAAAUAAAUUUAAUUGUGAUAUUUACCGGCUCUUCGACGCAGCACAGCUGUGGCUGCUCUGCUCCUUCGUUGAAACAACAAAAUAAUCAGCCAUCCACACAAACACAAUUCAAUCAAACGGAAACUGAAACAGAAACAGAAACAUGGCUGUAACUAUUGUGGGUGUUACUGCUGUGAUCUUAGCAAGCAAACAAACAACGACCAUGUAUCAAGGUCGUUAAAUUUAUAAAUCACAGUCAGGGGGAAGGUGUGCGAACCUCGGCCUGAGGCAAGCAUUUGUCGAGUGCUUCGCGGUUAGCAGACACGGAUCGUGUUUGUCCGUUGGAAAGCAACCAGAAAGGCGUCUGCUCACGGGCCAAGUCAUCAGGAGAGGAGAGGCCCUUCUUCUGGUGACAGUCUGCAAAGUGCUCCAGCAAGGCCAACGAAUCUGCAUGAGAAUGAACCGGACGAGAAGUCUGCAAUCAAAUGCGCAGCUUUAAAUACUUAAUUUAAAGCGCAGCAAACAAUUUAAGUGUAAAAUGUAAAUAAACAAGCAGAACUGCACAAUGUAGUGUGGCCAUAUAUUGCACGGCAGGGAUUUUGGCAGCGGCCGAGUGUGACCAGACGCGACGCUUGCACUGCUCAGUCAGCUGUUUUUUGUUUACAAAUCUAAGUACUUGAGCUUGAGCGAAAACACGUGCUAUUAAUUUAAUUAAAUGCAAUAAAAGAGUAUGUAAAUACGUAAGUGCAGUGUGCGGACAAGAAGCAAAUCGGAACAAAAGUCAGUUGAUGCCCCGACGAAUCUUCCUUCGUACAGGUGUGUCCUGGCCACAGCUUGGCAGCUGAAACCGAAUUAGGCCGAAUACUUGUCCAGCAUUCAAUCGGGGAGUUUCUUGGACUCGCGGACUUGGACUGGAAGCAGUGCCUGGCCGAUACGACAGCUUUAGCACAUUGGACAUUGGACAUUGAAGUACAUAGCCUCCAUUUCAUUUGUUGUCGCAUCCAACUCUGUGUGGCCAUAAAGCAGCGCAUCUGUUGCACACAUGGGCAAAAAAAAAAGUUGCCAGGCGGAAACAAACUAGUUGGAGGCAGCCCAACAAUUCAGGAAGAUUCACUUGGUGUGUGCGCGUCGAGCCUGUUGCCACAUGAACAGAACAUUUUAUUAGAUUACACAUUCGCCGGAUCCUACAUAUUGGCAGAAAAGUUAUCAUGGCAGCGCGCUGCAUCGUUGUGGGAGGGGGGGGGAUCGGCACGGGAAGAGUGUCAGAGUCAGAGUGCAAAUUUUUUACGACUCCCAGCGGAUGUUUUGAUACGUUUUUAUGAGACGCGCGCGUGCUGUAAGCAAUGGCGACUUCCGCCCGGCCGGCCUAGGCUCGACCCCUACCCUACUCUAUUCCUGCUGCUGCUGCUGCUGCUGGCACUGCCCUUAUCGCACUGUUGAGCAUUUGGUUGAUG
This is a long non-coding RNA of Drosophila obscura, 1626 nucleotides long. RefSeq lists it as uncharacterized. NCBI's taxonomy places the organism in Eukaryota, Metazoa, Arthropoda, Insecta, Diptera, Drosophilidae. The transcript is spliced from 3 exons. The record is from RefSeq and is a predicted model, not a curated record.